UCAAUGGAGAGUUUGAUCCUGGCUCAGGACGAACGCUGGCGGCGUGCCUAAUACAUGCAAGUCGAGCGGACCGAAUGGAAGCUUGCUUCUGUUUGGUUAGCGGCGGACGGGUGAGUAACACGUGGGCAACCUGCCCGUAAGACCGGGAUAACUUCGGGAAACCGGAGCUAAUACCGGAUAACACCGAAGACCGCAUGGUCUUUGGUUGAAAGGCGGCAUUAGCUGUCACUUACGGAUGGGCCCGCGGCGCAUUAGCUAGUUGGUGAGGUAACGGCUCACCAAGGCGACGAUGCGUAGCCGACCUGAGAGGGUGAUC
This 316-nucleotide ribosomal RNA is filed under the name Anoxybacteroides tepidamans. RNAcentral's name for it is "bacterial SSU rRNA". It matches the Rfam family "Bacterial small subunit ribosomal RNA", at positions 1 to 305 of the family's 1533-position model. The record is from RNAcentral. Lineage: Bacteria; Bacillati; Bacillota; Bacilli; Caryophanales; Anoxybacillaceae.